Cebus imitator (Panamanian white-faced capuchin) is the source of this 644-nucleotide long non-coding RNA. RefSeq lists it as uncharacterized. Lineage: Eukaryota; Metazoa; Chordata; Mammalia; Primates; Cebidae. The record is from RefSeq and is a predicted model, not a curated record. The transcript is spliced from 2 exons.
UGUGAAUUUCCUAUUACAUCAGUUUCAUGAUUCAGCAUUUUCCAUUUCAUUUAUUUACAGUAAUAUAUGGCGAGAUAACCCAAGGCUUCUGCAGGAUUUUGGAACGUAAGGUAGGCUGGGCAGGAAGGGUGUCGCCUUCUGUAAAUUUACUAUUGUUUAGGAGAACUCAGAACAUAAGCAAGCAAGCCAUCAAAGAAAUUGAGCAAAUUUCCCCCCACCUUGUUCUGAGGGUCUCCACUACUCUGGUAUUUAAAAUAAAUUGGUUUUGAAAAAUAGGUUACUGCCCUUUAGUCGGUGACUAAAACAGAAGCCAAGAAGUGUGCAAAUUGCGAACUGCCAUGCAUGAGCCAAACAUACUCUCUGAUAUGACAAUGGGUUUAAGGCGCAGCUAAAGUCACCACUCUGGCGGUAAGCCUGUUACAGAGAACUAGAUUUCUUUCCGGCAUCCGCAACUUGGCUGGAGUGACCAAGGAGGAGUUGAAGAGCGCUGGAGAUGCGAGAGCACCAGCCCCAUCAUCAGUGAGCGGCUCUGAGGACACCGACCAGCACAGGCUGACUCUACUGAUUGUCUGUAACAUGAUUGUCCCUUUUAAUCAAAGUGAUGUCAUCCUCUGAUUUCAGAAAGUGAAGGAUAGCGAAAUUAA